This 211-nucleotide long non-coding RNA is filed under the name Mytilus galloprovincialis (Mediterranean mussel). Lineage: Eukaryota; Metazoa; Mollusca; Bivalvia; Mytilida; Mytilidae. The record is from RNAcentral.
AAAAUGAACAGAUAACUAAAACCAAAACUUAAAAUAAGUACAAAAAGCAAUGUACCAACCUGAUAAAUGUUGCUUGUUUUAUAACAAAUAGGGUUGCAAAUUUUGGAUAAAACACAAUAUCAACAUAUUUUAAACGUAAUCGUCAUCACAAUACUAGACCAAUUAAACUGUCCAACAGUCUAAACGCGCCCAUUGCAGCGAUUAUAUGUCG